This is a long non-coding RNA of Zea mays, 620 nucleotides long. RefSeq lists it as uncharacterized. The record is from RefSeq and is a predicted model, not a curated record. The transcript has 2 exons. NCBI's taxonomy places the organism in Eukaryota, Viridiplantae, Streptophyta, Magnoliopsida, Poales, Poaceae.
ACUGAACCUUGUGAGCCCAUGUUCAUUUCUUAUGAGACUAAAUAUGCACUGAACCUUGUGUGCCUUGUAGUAUCUGUAGUAUCUCUCUUUUAAAGAUCAAUAGGAUUCCAAGAUCGACUAUAGUAGCACCAGGCCUCCACUGGCCUAAUCAGUCUCUGACUUAGCUUGUAUUUUACCUCACAUUUCAUUGCAUGUCUCUACACCCUAAGGUCCUAACCACUAGUUUUUUCCACUUGCAGGUAUGUUCCAAUGUUUGUGGAGAUAGAGUAUGAUCCGAACUGCUAGUACACAUCUGUUCUAAUUGAAGAGCAACUGGAGGCUCUUGGAAGAGCAAUAGUUGCUGGCAAGACAGGCAAUUGAAAAUGAGAAUUGAUCUUUUUUAUGGGCAAAGUGUUGAAGAUGGCUUUGGUGAAGGAAAUGUCUUGUUAGCAUCAAGUAAGUGGCAACAUCACAACCCCUACAAGCUUGUGCCUUAAAACAAGAGGAUACAAGAAGUUGGAGUGCUUUUGUGAUGGCUUUUGCGAAUCACUUGAAGCGUUAGUACUUUUGUGAAUGAUUUUGUAAAGUGUUUGCAAAUAUGUGCAAAACAUAAUAACAUGUGUAGGUUUUGUGAAUGAUUU